UACGUAGGUGACAAGCGUUGUCCGGAUUUACUGGGCGUAAAGAGCGCGCAGGCGGUCGAUCAAGUCGAGUGUGAAAGCCCCCGGCUCAACUGGGGAGGGUCAUUCGAAACUGGUCGACUCGAAGGCAGGAGAGGGUAGUGGAAUUCCCGGUGUAGUGGUGAAAUGCGUAGAUAUCGGGAGGAACACCAGCGGCGAAGGCGACUACCUGGCCUGUUCUUGACGCUGAGGCGCGAAAGCUAGGGGAGCAAACGGG
Molecule: ribosomal RNA, 253 nt
Filed under: uncultured bacterium
Lineage: Bacteria
Description: partial 16S ribosomal RNA
Rfam family: Bacterial small subunit ribosomal RNA
Source: RNAcentral